Molecule: unclassified non-coding RNA, 253 nt
Filed under: uncultured Alphaproteobacteria bacterium
Lineage: Bacteria; Pseudomonadati; Pseudomonadota; Alphaproteobacteria
Description: contains 16S-23S intergenic spacer region
Rfam family: Bacterial small subunit ribosomal RNA
Source: RNAcentral
UACGGAGGGGGCUAGCGUUGUUCGGAAUUACUGGGCGUAAAGCGCGCGUAGGCGGCGGAACAAGUUGGGCGUGAAAGCCCGGGGCUCAACCCCGGAUGUGCGUCCAAGACUGUUCUGCUCGAGGCCGAGAGAGGGUGGCGGAAUUCCCAGUGUAGAGGUGAAAUUCGUAGAUAUUGGGAAGAACACCGGUGGCGAAGGCGGCCACCUGGCUCGGAACUGACGCUGAGGCGCGAAAGCGUGGGGAGCAAACAGG